CACAGUAAACGAUGGAUGCCCGCUGUUGGCGAUACAAUGUCAGCGGCCAAGCGAAAGCGUUAAGCAUCCCACCUGGGGAGUACGCCGGCAACGGUGAAACUCAAAGGAAUUGACGGGGGCCCGCACAAGCGGAGGAACAUGUGGUUUAAUUCGAUGAUACGCGAGGAACCUUACCCGGGCUUGAACUGCCAGCGUACGAUUCAGAGAUGAUGAGGCCCUUCGGGGCGCUGGUGGAGGUGCUGCAUGGUUGUCGUCAGCUCGUGCCGUGAGGUGUCGGCUUAAGUGCCAUAACGAGCGCAACCCUUUUCAUCAGUUGCCAUCAGGCGAUGCUGGGCACUCUGGUGAUACUGCCACCGUAAGGUGUGAGGAAGGUGGGGAUGACGUCAAAUCAGCACGGCCCUUACGUCCGGGGCUACACACGUGUUACAAUGGGGUGUACAGAGAGUCGGUGCACGGCAACGUGCAUCCAAUCCUUAAAGCACUCCUCAGUUCGGAUUGGGGUCUGCAACCCGACC
RNAcentral lists this ribosomal RNA (515 nucleotides) under uncultured bacterium. Its description in RNAcentral is "bacterial SSU rRNA". It matches the Rfam family "Bacterial small subunit ribosomal RNA", at positions 798 to 1317 of the family's 1533-position model. The record is from RNAcentral.